Molecule: ribosomal RNA, 459 nt
Filed under: uncultured bacterium
Lineage: Bacteria
Description: bacterial SSU rRNA
Rfam family: Bacterial small subunit ribosomal RNA
Source: RNAcentral
AACGAACGCUGGCGGCAGGCCUAACACAUGCAAGUCGAGCGAACCCUUCGGGGUUAGCGGCGGACGGGUUAGUAACGCGUGGGAAUAUACCCUUUGGUACGGAAUAGCCUCGGGAAACUGAGAGUAAUACCGUAUGUGCCCUUCGGGGGAAAGAUUUAUCGCCAAAGGAUUAGCCCGCGUUGGAUUAGAUAGUUGGUGGGGUAAUGGCCUACCAAGUCUACGAUCCAUAGCUGGUUUGAGAGGAUGAUCAGCAACACUGGGACUGAGACACGGCCCAGACUCCUACGGGAGGCAGCAGUGGGGAAUCUUAGACAAUGGGCGCAAGCCUGAUCUAGCCAUGCCGCGUGGACGAUGAAGGCCUUAGGGUUGUAAAGUCCUUUCAGAUGGGAAGAUAAUGACGGUACCAUCAGAAGAAGCCCCGGNUAACUCCGUGCCAGCAGCCGCGGUAAAGUCUGUACU